This is a long non-coding RNA of Hylaeus volcanicus, 316 nucleotides long. RefSeq lists it as uncharacterized. The transcript is spliced from 5 exons. NCBI's taxonomy places the organism in Eukaryota, Metazoa, Arthropoda, Insecta, Hymenoptera, Colletidae. The record is from RefSeq and is a predicted model, not a curated record.
AAAGCAGAAGAGGAAUUUCGUCGAGAAAAAGAAAAAAUAGCGAAACAACAAUCGCUUCAAGAAAGACAAGUUGACGAAGCCCGAGAUAAAUUACCGAAAGCUAUGGACACAGAACUUGCGGAAAUAAUGAAGACUGUGGAAAGGAUAAUCAUGAUACGAGGUAGCCGUAGUACUAAAGAAUUACAAGCCUUCAACAUUGUAGCAAAACAAACGUUUUGCCCAAGAUUAAAACCUUUUUACAAAGAUAUUUGUUAGAUCACUAAUUCCAAAUGCAAAUAAAAAUUUAACAGAAACUAGUUCUAUCUGCAUAGAAACA